UGGAGAUGCUCUAAUUCAUUGUAUUUGCAUGUUUCCAGCAGCCAUGUAUCAAAAAAAGCUUCAGCUUUGGGUUGUUGAUUUAGCAGCAUCAAUCAUUAAUUGUUCUGCUAUAUAUGUUCUUAACCAUGACAACCUGAUUAGGCUCUUAGUUUAUUAUGGUCUUUGUUCUGGGUGGAUCUCUGACUAUUCUGGGUUGCUCCGAUGAGGACAAGCUGCUUCUGCAGGUGGACGGGGCCCUCAAGGCUGCUCUGCCUAUUCCUCCUGCUACCCCCACACGUGUGAACACAAAGCCAUCGAUGCAUUAAGGGCUCAAUGUCGUCUCCGCCGGCUGAGCGGCAAGCCGGGGUUGGGCCUGCACACCGUCUAUCAGCACCCUCCUGCGUCUCCAUUCACGGAUCUGCAUGUCAACCCCUCUUCUCCUCCUAUCCAUGCAUCUUCUUUUCCAGAGCUAGGUGUAUGGUUGCAUGGCAAUUUGUGUUUUGUGUCUCACCAUGUUCUGCUUGCCCUGGUUGGCCAAUGAGGCUUUCCUUUUCUGGUAAAGGCCAAAUGUACUAUUCUCUAUGCUUUAUAUUUUUGUAGUUCCUUUGUUUCCAUGCUUGUUUUUUGAUGGGGUGUAAAUAUAUGCUUUUUUGUUCCUUGUCUGGAUUCAGGUAGGGCCUAACAUUAUUGUUCCUUUGUGCAUGGAAAUGUUGGUGGCUUUGUUCCUUUGUGUAUGGAAGGGGGCCUUGAUUAGAAUUUCUAACGUUUGAGUUGUAAUUAGUGUUUUUGUUACACAUGAAAACCUAUGGUUGUUUGUCCAAUCACAUAUGAAAAAGAGAGGAUUGUUUGUCCAACAAUUUUCUUUCUCUGUGAUAGUUUUACUAGAAAUAAAGCAUAGUCACUAUUACAUCCUAUUUUAUAUAUUGUUGUGUCGUGAUAUCUGUAUAGACUCUGUCUACGUCCUUUUGACAUUCCAAGUUUUGUUUUUCUAUGGCUCAAUUAGUUACCCCGUAUCAAGAGAAAUUUAACUGGUAUUUGCGGUAGAGUUAGCUGAAUUCAUGAAGCAAUGAUUUAGUUAUUAUUAAAGCUGAAACACAACAUGUUUUGACAAAUGCGUUCUAAGUAAAGCCUCCAACUAACAUAACCAAAAACAUAUUCUUUAGGUUUAUCAUCUAUUGAAGUAUUAUGUAGAAUUUAAAAGCAUACGAGGCAAAGCAAAUGAGCUCUAUGCACUUUCCAUGUAGCACAGAACAAAAAUAAUCAUGUAUAUUUUGGAUGCACCUAGAUAUACUCAUCAGCAAGGCUGAGGUUAUAGGGCACUCACCCACAUUGUCGAUAUCUCCGUCACUAUGAUCACCCACAUGAUGGACAAUUCCCUUCUUUCUUUUCUCUGUGGCUAUUGACACUUAAUGCUAUUACUGUGUGCAUAUAUGUACUGUGAUCCGUUCUCAUUCUUCAUAUCUUGAGAAACUAUCUCAAGAUACUCGCGUUUGUGUUUUGGAGAAAGCCUAUUCUAUGAUUAAUAUAUCGAGUAUGGAUGGCACGAUAUCACCUCUCUUUAUGAUGAUGUUCUUACAGAAUAUAGGUUUUAUGGUAACAAGUCUUAGCCAACACCUAUACUGAUGCUCAGACCAGAUGAUUAUAGUCUCUCAUUGCUAUUUUUCUUGAGGUGUGUACAUCUAUCUAGACAAUUUAAUUAAAAUAUAGAUUCCAUACAAACCAUCAAUACAUGUUAGUUGACUUUGAAACUAAUCAGUAAAAAGGUUGUCCCUUUCGCAUUUUAUGGACAUAAAGAUUUGGUGUUGACUGUCGAUCUUUAGUUAACACAUGACCUUACAACCGUAGGGAGUGGGAAAAAACUUAUAUGUUUGGCACAUUUGAAGAACAUAUCAUAGUAACAAAGUUUUGGUAAACAAUGUCCUAGAUCUCAACCAUAUAGAAAUACUAAAUAUAUGUUUAUUUGUAUAUGGAUUAAUUAUACAGACUUAUAAAACCCUGUGCGGGGCACAUAAAAGAAAUUUGAAAUAACUAUUAUUUCAAUAUUUGCUUUUUCAGUUGAGCAUAAUAGUUUAUAGCCUGAUAGGCUUGGACAUAAUUGUCUACAUGUACUGCUCAGUAGGCGACAUCCUUUGGGAAAUUGAGGAUGUCCUCGUGCAUUUUCUAAAUACAAUUGUGGCAGAUCUGAGGAAGGAGGGGAGGAAUAAUCUCGCGGGAGAGUUCGGUGCAGAGGAAGAAGAACAAGAUAUUAUUUAUUUCUUGUGAACAGUCAAGCUUGUGCAUUGUCCCACUAAGUUAUUUCAACAAUAGUAGUAACUGUUAUCUCUGGCCAUCUGUCGCGACAUUUUCUUUAACCACCAAUGCAUAUUUAUUUUCUUGUUAAUAACUCUCAUAAUUGCCUGCUACUGUUUCAGUUCUGGGGCCAGGCAACCUUGAAUCCAACGUCCACCUGCAGGCUACAUCUCAGGGGAAAUUGCAAAGCAUAUUAUGAAUUGUUACAAGAAACUAUUUCCGCUGUUUUGGUGCAAGGAUGUUGCUUUUUAGUAUGCUUCCCGUAUCUUGGUAUCUUGGAAUAAUAAACAGAUAGAUGUCGUGUACCAAGAUUGUUCCUUGUUGUUAAGAGGGAUACAAAUAUUAUACAAGAAUUUUUCUGAUGACUCCUAAAGCAUAUUUGGAUAUACAGCAAAGUAUAUUGUCGCUUCCCUGUUAGUAAAACGAUUAUGUUAGAAAUUUGGUUGGCAGCCCCUACAUUUGGCUGAUUGCUAGCUGACUGGAUUACUCAUGUUUGCGGACUCUGGUAACUUAUGCCUACCAAGAACUACAUGAAUUUUGUGUCUUGCUGCAGUGAACAUUACCAAACUAAUUCUAAAGGUGUUAUAAUCAUGUUUUCUUUUGCAUUAUCAACUUUUAACUUUUGUCAUUUGUUAACACAUUCCUUUUGCAUUAUCAACUUUUAACUAUUGUCAUUUGUUAACACGAUUAUUUAGCAUGUUCACUAUGCGAGUACUCCCUCCGUCCGAAAAUACUUGUCAUCAAAAUAGAUAA
Molecule: long non-coding RNA, 3021 nt
Organism: Triticum aestivum (bread wheat)
Lineage: Eukaryota; Viridiplantae; Streptophyta; Magnoliopsida; Poales; Poaceae
Exons: 4
Source: RefSeq, a predicted model, not a curated record